Molecule: ribosomal RNA, 478 nt
Filed under: uncultured bacterium
Lineage: Bacteria
Description: partial 16S ribosomal RNA
Rfam family: Bacterial small subunit ribosomal RNA
Source: RNAcentral
GACGAACGCUGGCGGCGUGCUUAACACAUGCAAGUCGAACGGUAAGGCCCUUCGGGGUACACGAGUGGCGAACGGGUGAGUAACACGUGGGUGAUCUGCCCUGCACUUCGGGAUAAGCCUGGGAAACUGGGUCUAAUACCGGAUAGGACCACUGCCUGCAUGGGUGGUGGUGGAAAGCUUUUGCGGUGUGGGAUGGGCCCGCGGCCUAUCAGCUUGUUGGUGGGGUGAUGGCCUACCAAGGCGACGACGGGUAGCCGGCCUGAGAGGGUGACCGGCCACACUGGGACUGAGGUACGGCCCAGACUCCUACGGGAGGCAGCAGUGGGGAAUAUUGCACGAUGGGCGCAAGCCUGAUGCAGCGACGCCGCGUGAGGGAUGACGGCCUUCGGGUUGUAAACCUCUUUCAGCACCGACGAAGCGCAAGUGACGGUAGGUGCAGAAGAAGGACCGGCCAACUACGUGCCAGCCGCCGCAGUAA